Molecule: long non-coding RNA, 3692 nt
Filed under: Helianthus annuus (common sunflower)
Lineage: Eukaryota; Viridiplantae; Streptophyta; Magnoliopsida; Asterales; Asteraceae
Description: hypothetical non coding rna
Source: RNAcentral
UCAACUAGAAACCUCCAUACACAAUUACUAUCCCCUCUCUCUCUCUUUCUACCGUAGACAUACAUAUCACCCUCCUCCUUUUUACUUCAUUUUCUUCCAAUUUAGAGAGGAGAGAGUACAUGAUAGAAAGUAGAAAGAGAAAGAGAUACGGAAGAGAGAGAGAAACUCAAGAGAGACCGCGGGUGACAUGAAGUUGUUGAGGGUUGUUGUGUGGUUCCAAUGACGGUAAUGAUCGGCGGCAGCAAGGACGUCACCAGAUAUUGUUUGUUGUUCGGCAGAGUUUCGGAGUCGGGAAUAAAAACUUCGGGAGCUAACUGUUGGUGAAAUCCGGUCAGUGGUGAACAGUGGUCAUCAGUGACGGUUGAUACUGUUAGUGACGGUUGAUACUGUUUGGUGGUUGUUCGCCUCUUGGCAAACACAGGUUAGUGGCGGACCCAGGAUUUUUUACCACUGGGGUCCAGUUUUUGUGUUAGAAUUUUUCACAACCAAACAUUAAAAUUUUCGGGUCGGUCAUCGUAGUCGGGUCGGGUCGGAGUUAGGAAAUAAUGUAGAAGCAUUUAGUGGACAUGAAACCAACACAUUAUUAAGAACCAUUUUUAAGAAUCAAGUUAUCAAAUUGUGGUGAUUAAUAAGUUGCUUGAAACCAAAGGCUAUCUGAUAAAAUAAACUAAAAAAAAAAAUGUAAGACUUGAACUUGAGACCUUUGUUGGAACACAAGGGGAUUUACCACCAUACCAUCUUUGCUUUUAAUAUUAUGGGGUGCAACUAAUUUAUUUUAUGGGGUCCUUGAAAAAUUUAACAUACCGGUUCUACUAUUAUUUUAAAUAACAUUGGGGUCUGUGGACCCCGACCCGCACCAUAUAGGUCCGCCCCUGUGUUGGGAUGGUGGUUUAAGACCAUGGCUUCUCAAAUGGGUUCGCUGUGAUGGAUUUGAUGCCAUUAAAAACGAUUUUAUAUUUGGUUUACAUAUUUUGCCAUUUCGAUUAGGGAUGGCAAUCAAACCCGAACCCGCUGGGUAAACCCGAAACCUGACACGUUUGGGACGGGUUUGGGGUCGGUUAAUCGGGUUUGGUACGGGUUUGGGAAUAGUUUUUUUUUUCUUCGCGGGUUUGGGACGGGUUUGGGAUUUAGUGAUAUACCCGUUUACCCGACCCAAUUACCCGAUAAAGUGUACCCGUUUACCCGAUUGUAUACUCGAUAUAAUUUCUUUUAUAUUAUUAAAUAUGUAUAUAUAUGAUACAUCCAUUUUUUACACAUAUAGUUAUUCUAUUCCGUAUACAUUGUAGUUAUUUGAUAUAUAUUUUUAUAAUGACGAUAUAAAAUGUAACCGGUUAGUAGUUACCCGAUAAUAUCCAAUGGGUUUUGAGAUGAGUAUACCCAACGAGUAAUCUUUUUAAAUUAACGGGUUUACCCGAAACCCACGGGUAUACCCGAUACCCGAUGGGUAUUUACCCGCUAGAAACCCGACGGUUUUGGGACGGGUUUGGGACAAACUUAUCUAACCGGGUUUGGGUUUGGGAUUACCUAAACCCGUCCCAAACCCAUUGCCAUCCCUAAUUUCGAUGAUUUAUUAAAGAUAUUAAUUAAGUUAGUUAUUUAUCAUUUUAUUUAACUUUUGUUAUUAGAAAUAAAUUUAAUAUUCAUUAAGUUAGUUAUUUAUCAUUUUAUUUAACUUUUGUUAUUCAGAAAUAAAUUUACUAUCAAAAUUAAUAUUUUUCAAGUUAUCCUAAGCUGUACUCAAACUCCUUCCUUAGAGAUAAAUUGUGAUUUUAACUUUCUUCACUAAAUGAUAUACAUAAUUACUAAUACAAAACUUUUAAUUAAGAGGUUUCAAGUCAGGUCAGAUUUGGUCAUCAACAGUCACCCGGGGGAUUUAAAUAUAUAUAAACGAUGAACCGAUAGCGUAUCAAGUGUGAGACAUAACGACCUAAGACACCGUACUCGACAAUAUAUAUUUAUGUGAAAACAUAAGAACAGAUAUGUUAGUUUGGACUUUAGGUAUGCAUAAACCAGAUAUGAUUUUAUUUAACAUAUGCCUAAACACGACAUAUGAGACGUGGGAUACAAAUAUUACAUUAGCUGAUUAACUUGGACAAGUAGCUACGACACGCAGGACAUUAGACGUUUACACAAUUAGGUGAUAAGACACGACCUUCAAGACAUGAGACUCGGAGAUAUACAGAUAAGUACACAUGCCGAGCCUACAAAAUUUAUUAAAAAUUGGGUCGCCCCGCCGCGGAGCGCGGAUUUUACCCACUAGUUAUUAUAUAUAAGCUUAAAGUUUAUAAAUAAUAAACUUCAAAUCCAUUUAAUUUUAUAAAAAAAUAUAAAUAAAACAGAAAACAUUACUUUAAAUUAUUAGUCAAAUAUAAUUAAUUAAAAAUAGACUCUCUCGUUAUUAAAUGAUAUUUUAGUCAUUUUAAUAAGACUUAACAAAAAAAGUUAAUAAGGUUUGGCCUUAGUACUCAACAUUGUGACCAAUUAGAAAGUUAAUACAUGAUCUUGCAAUAAAAAACUAUUAGUAUCCGAUAUUGAAAUUUAACAGAAACCACAAUGACCAACGGUGUAAUUUUUUCUAAUCUUCACGUAUUUAUUUAAAAAAUCUAGAAAUUCCUAUUUAAAAAAGUUAUAAGAGAUUUUACGUGUAUUGUGACUCUACCAGUCUAUCUUACUCAAAUCUCUAGUUGACCGUUCAAAAAGAAGACGCUUAUUUUUAAGCUUGGUUGAUACGAAUUUAUAGCCUAGCAAAAAUAAUUAAUGUAUGUAGAGCAUUUAUGCUCAAACAUAUAAAACAUAGGUCGCUAAGGCUAUUUGGUAUGGUGGACAAAUGUAAUGAGUCGUUUUCUGCUAUGUGUCUGUUACGUAAGCAGAGAGGGUUUUGCCCUCCAAAACCCUAAAACCAUAGGAUAGUGAGCAAGGACAAAGGGUAUUUUCAUCACACUACGUGUCACCCUAUCAUUUGUCAACUUGAAAAAGUCAAGCCAAACUCAAGGAGCAUAUCCCCCCACGCCCGUGAGAAACUCCAAGCCUCCAAGGGGCAACGCCGGUCGAAAUGCUGGAGGAGGUGGUGUGUGGAGCCCCCCCUCCCCCCGCCAGGGAUAAGCUAAUGUAUAAAGUGUACUUAACUUACAAAGUGUAAAAAGUAAUUAUAUAUAAGGAACUCAACUCAAAAUUACGGAUGAAGAAAUAAUAUGGAAAAUUACGCACUAAUGAAAUCAAAAUUACACAACAGGGAAAUAACAAAUGAAAAUUACGUAUGAAGGAAAUCCAAAAUUACAUCACCUAAAAAAUCAUUUGUAUACUUUUGUACGCUAACAACCCUUUGUAUAUAAACCUUUUAUGAAACUCAAUGAUAGUGUUUAGUUUGUCAUGUUUUUGAAACUUACCAUUCAUAAGUUAACAUUUUCGCUAAUAAUAUAAUUUUUAACUUAAAAAUGUUGCAAUCGACUACUUUUAAGAAAAAUAAGGGUGUUACACUUUAUUAGGGGUGUGCAAGGUUCGGUUCAGUUUUAUAGUAAAACCAAACUGUAACUGAAAUGUCCGGUUUUUGGUUUUUUAAAAUCGUUAAGUUUCAGAUUUUUCACUUUUAGCAAAGGUUUGGUUCAGCUUUUCAGUUUUUUUUUUUUUUUUUUUUUUUUGGGUUUUUUUCGGUUUUUGGAACAAAAUUAUGUAAGAUUAAAAAAUAAAUAGUA